GUUUUUGUUGUUGGUGAAAGGUGAGGGGAACAGCUGAUCCGUCUGUUGGGAGGACAGAUAUCUCAAGGCCAGGAUGGAAGAAUCACCACUAAGCCGGGCACCAUCCCGUGGUGGAGUCAACUUUCUCAAUGUAGCCCGGACCUACAUCCCCAACACCAAGGUGGAAUGUCACUACACCCUUCCCCCAGGCACCAUGCCCAGUGCCAGUGACUGGAUUGGCAUCUUCAAGGUGGAGGCUGCCUGUGUUCGGGAUUACCACACAUUUGUGUGGUCUUCCGUGCCUGAAAGUACAACUGAUGGUUCCCCCAUUCACACCAGUGUCCAGUUCCAAGGAGCUCAGCUCUACCAGUUCCGAUAUGUGAACCGCCAGGGCCGGGUGUGUGGGCAGAGCCCCCCUUUCCAGUUCCGAGAGCCAAGGCCCAUGGAUGAACUGGUGACCCUGGAGGAGGCUGAUGGGGGCUCUGACAUCCUGCUGGUUGUCCCCAAGGCAACUGUGUUACAGAACCAGCUCGAUGAGAGCCAGCAAGAACGGAAUGACCUGAUGCAGCUGAAGCUGCAGCUGGAGGGACAGGUGACAGAGCUGAGGAGCCGAGUGCAGGAGCUCGAGAGGGCUCUGGCAACUGCCAGGCAGGAGCACACGGAGCUGAUGGAACAGUACAAGGGGAUUUCCCGGUCCCAUGGGGAGAUCACAGAAGAGAGGGACAUCCUGAGCCGGCAACAGGGAGACCAUGUGGCACGCAUCCUGGAGCUAGAGGAUGACAUCCAGACCAUCAGUGAGAAAGUGCUGACGAAGGAAGUGGAGCUGGACAGGCUUAGAGACACAGUGAAGGCCCUGACUCGGGAACAAGAGAAGCUCCUUGGGCAACUGAAAGAAGUACAAGCAGACAAGGAGCAAAGUGAGGCUGAGCUCCAAGUGGCACAACAGGAGAACCAUCACUUAAAUUUGGACCUGAAGGAGGCGAAGAGCUGGCAAGAGGAGCAGAGUGCUCAGGCUCAGCGACUGAAAGACAAGGUGGCCCAGAUGAAGGACACCCUAGGCCAGGCCCAGCAGCGGGUGGCCGAGCUGGAGCCCUUGAAGGAGCAGCUUCGAGGGGCCCAGGAGCUUGCAGCCUCAAGCCAGCAGAAAGCCACCCUUCUUGGGGAGGAGUUGGCCAGCGCAGCAGCAGCCAGGGACCGCACCAUAGCCGAACUACACCGCAGCCGCCUGGAAGUGGCUGAAGUUAACGGCAGGCUGGCUGAGCUCGGUUUGCACUUGAAGGAAGAAAAAUGCCAAUGGAGCAAGGAGCGGGCAGGGCUGCUGCAGAGUGUGGAGGCAGAGAAGGACAAGAUCCUGAAGCUGAGUGCAGAGAUACUUCGAUUGGAGAAGGCAGUUCAGGAGGAGAGGACCCAAAACCAAGUGUUCAAGACUGAGCUGGCCCGGGAGAAGGAUUCUAGCCUGGUACAGUUGUCGGAAAGUAAGCGGGAGCUGACAGAGCUGCGGUCAGCCCUGCGUGUGCUCCAGAAGGAAAAGGAGCAGUUACAGGAGGAGAAACAGGAAUUGCUAGAGUACAUGAGAAAGCUAGAGGCCCGCCUGGAGAAGGUGGCAGAUGAGAAGUGGAAUGAGGAUGCCACCACAGAGGAUGAGGAGGCCGCUGUGGGGCUGAGUCCGUGUAGCCCCAAUCUUGUAACACCUCUUCCCCACUCUACCUCCCGCUGUUGAGGAAGGCUCCAUGUAACCUUGCUGGGAGCUGCCUUUGCCUUCUUUGUGUUUUGCCUUUUCUUUCCCAGACCCUGGCCCCUGUUUAGUCUAAUGAUACCCCUCAUCCAGAGGAGACAGCUGGUCCAACUCCUCACAACACAUCCUUUUUUCUUCUCUGCCUGCUUCAUCUCCUACAGGCUGCCCGGCAGCUCUGACAGACUCAGAGGACGAGUCCCCAGAAGAUAUGAGGCUCCCACCCUAUGGCCUUUGUGAGCGUGGAGACCCAGGCUCCUCUCCUGCUGGGCCUCGAGAGGCUUCUCCCCUUGUUGUCAUCAGCCAGCCGGCUCCCAUUUCUCCUCACCUCUCUGGGCCAGCUGAGGACAGUAGCUCUGACUCGGAGGCUGAAGAUGAGAAGUCAGUCCUGAUGGCAGCUG
Molecule: small RNA, 2112 nt
Filed under: Pan troglodytes (chimpanzee)
Lineage: Eukaryota; Metazoa; Chordata; Mammalia; Primates; Hominidae
Description: retained intron
Source: RNAcentral